RNAcentral lists this ribosomal RNA (253 nucleotides) under uncultured bacterium. RNAcentral's name for it is "partial 16S ribosomal RNA". It matches the Rfam family "Bacterial small subunit ribosomal RNA", at positions 524 to 776 of the family's 1533-position model. The record is from RNAcentral.
UACGUAGGGUGCAAGCGUUGUCCGGAAUUAUUGGGCGUAAAGAGCUCGUAGGCGGCUUGUCGCGUCUGCUGUGAAAUCCCGAGGCUCAACCUCGGGCGUGCAGUGGGUACGGGCAGGCUAGAGUGCGGUAGGGGAGAUUGGAAUUCCUGGUGUAGCGGUGGAAUGCGCAGAUAUCAGGAGGAACACCGAUGGCGAAGGCAGAUCUCUGGGCCGCUACUGACGCUGAGGAGCGAAAGCAUGGGGAGCGAACAGG